CCCAUCUCAGGAUUGCAUCUGGUGAGUUUCCAGUACUCUACCAGUCUUGGCUACGGGAGGGAGAGUCAAGCAGAGGCAUACCCAUUCCAUUCUUAGCUUACACAGUGGCUAGAGAGUGAAAGGGAUUCUGCUACAAGU
Molecule: small nucleolar RNA, 138 nt
Organism: Ornithorhynchus anatinus (platypus)
Lineage: Eukaryota; Metazoa; Chordata; Mammalia; Monotremata; Ornithorhynchidae
Source: RefSeq, a predicted model, not a curated record